GAGUUUGAUCCUGGCUCAGGAUGAACGCUGGCGGCGUGCUUAACACAUGCAAGUCGAACGGGGGUGCCAUGAACGAAGCAUCAGUUUACUGAUAUGGAGGGAAUGGGACUCUAGUGGCGGACGGGUGAGUAACGCGUGGGUAACCUGCCCCAUACCGGGGGAUAACACUUAGAAAUAGGUGCUAAUACCGCAUAAGCGCACGGUACUGCAUGGUACAGUGUGAAAAACUCCGGUGGUAUGGGAUGGACCCGCGUCUGAUUAGCUUGUUGGCGGGGUAACGGCCCACCAAGGCGACGAUCAGUAGCCGGCCUGAGAGGGUGGACGGCCACAUUGGGACUGAGACACGGCCCAAACUCCUACGGGAGGCAGCAGUGGGGAAUAUUGCACAAUGGGGGAAACCCUGAUGCAGCGACGCCGCGUGAGUGAAGAAGUAUUUCGGUAUGUAAAGCUCUGUCAGCAGGGAAGAAAAUGACGGUACCUGACCAAGAAGCCCCGGCUAACUACGUGCCAGCAGCCGCGGUAAUACGGGGGGUGCAAGCGUUGUCCGGAAUCAUUGGGCGUAAAGAGUUCGUAGGCGGCACGUANAGUCUGGUGUUAAAUGCAGAGGCU
RNAcentral lists this ribosomal RNA (609 nucleotides) under uncultured bacterium. RNAcentral describes it as "bacterial SSU rRNA". It matches the Rfam family "Bacterial small subunit ribosomal RNA", at positions 9 to 609 of the family's 1533-position model. The record is from RNAcentral.